UACGAAGGGGGCGAGCGUUAUUCGGAAUCACUGGGCGUAAAGCGUGCGUAGGCUGUUUCGCAAGUUGGAAGUGAAAGCCCAGGGCUCAACCCUGGAAUUGCUUUCAAAAUUGCGAGACUCGAGUCCGGGAGAGGAUAGCGGAAUUUCCAGUGUAGUAGUGAAAUACGUAGAUAUUGGAAGGAACACCAGUGGCGCAAGCGGCUAUCUGGACCGGUACUGACGCUGAGGCACGAAAGCGUGGGGAUCAAACAGG
Molecule: ribosomal RNA, 253 nt
Filed under: uncultured bacterium
Lineage: Bacteria
Description: partial 16S ribosomal RNA
Rfam family: Bacterial small subunit ribosomal RNA
Source: RNAcentral